Molecule: ribosomal RNA, 490 nt
Filed under: uncultured bacterium
Lineage: Bacteria
Description: partial 16S ribosomal RNA
Rfam family: Bacterial small subunit ribosomal RNA
Source: RNAcentral
GAUGAACGCUAGCUACAGGCUUAACACAUGCAAGUCGCGGGGCAGCAUGGGGGUUGCUUGCAACUCCCGAUGGCGACCGGCGCACGGGUGAGUAACGCGUAUCCAACCUGCCCUUCACCACGGGAUAACCCGGCGAAAGUCGGACUAAUACCGUAUGUUGUCCAUUGACGGCAUCCGAUUUGGACGAAAGGCUUUGCGGUGAAGGAUGGGGAUGCGUCCGAUUAGCCAGACGGCGGGGUAACGGCCCACCGUGGCUACGAUCGGUAGGGGUUCUGAGAGGAAGGUCCCCCACACUGGAACUGAGACACGGUCCAGACUCCUACGGGAGGCAGCAGUGAGGAAUGUUGGUCAAUGGGCGUAAGCCUGAACCAGCCAAGUAGCGUGCAGGAUGACGGCCCUAUGGGUUGUAAACUGCUUUUAUGCGGGGAUAAAGUGGCCCACGUGUGGGCUUUUGCAGGUACCGCAUGAAUAAGGACCGGCUAAUUCCGUG